GGGCGCAGGGGAGGGGGCGCGGCGGAACUCCCCGGACCAGCAACACAGCAAUCAAAAAAAAAAAAAAAAAAAAGAAAAAAAGAAAACACCGCAAACAAUAAUAAUAAAUAACCCAAAUUAAGGGUCGGAGAGGCGUCCCACCUUGGUCACUCUUGGAAACCACCUCUUCCUCCCCUCCCCAAAUGCAAAACACAGGGGGUGAGGGUUAAAAAAAAAAAAAGAAAAAAAAAAAGAAGAAAAACAAAACAAAACAAAACAAGGAUAAAUUCUGCUCGGGAGGAGCAAAAGCGUCUGCGGAGGUCGGGACAGCCAGAGAGGGCUGGAGGGGAAGCCGGAGGUGGAAAGUUCUAACAAGAAGCCUCUUGCCCCAGCAGCCGCCGGGGCUGGGGAAUUCGCAGACGCCAGGUCCUGUGCUUCGUGUGGAUUAUCUUCCUGAACCAUCACGGCCACUGGCUGCUGGGGCUCUGUCCCCAUUCAACAAAUGAAGAAGCUGAAGCCCACAUACGGGGAGCAACUAGUCCAAGUUGUGCAGUUUUGGGUGGUGUCGCUAAAGCACAUGGAAAAAUCUGAUCUUCUGGACUUUGUGACUCUGAAGCCUCAGUCAGGUGUUUGUUGAGCUUAUGCUGGGACGUCAGUUUUGAAGGAAAAGAAUGACACCCUCCCCCGCAAAUCAGACGCUCAAUAUUGACAAUAUACUACGUGUUACAGUUCGCCUAAGGAGCAGGGCAUAAUUGGGAAUUUUAUACUUUUUUAUUUUUAAUCUCCCUGGGAAGAGAAGUCCGUUUUCCCACAGUUAGGGCAGUAAAACCCUCAAAGUGUGAGGAUACACAUUUAUCUCACCAGCAUGAUCCCAUGUUUGGAAAGAAAAAGCUGAAAGUACAUAUUCGUAUUUAUUUAGUCACCAUUUGGUCGGGAUUUACCGUGUGCCGGGCGGGCAGUAUUCUAAAUGCCUCACUUUCAUUGAAUUUAAUCCCUUUUCAUCAAAAUGGCUCCUUUGGAGAAGGAUCCGUAUUUCUCGUUUAAGUCUAUGGAAAGGAAGGUCAAGCAGCUUGGUCAAGUCAUGGAGCCAGUGAGUGGCAGGUAUGGAAUUCAAAUUUAACUCGGUUUUAUAUUCUGUUUCUCUCUCUCCUGGCUCUGGACCUGUGUCUUUCCCUGUCUCUCUCGGCGUGCACACACACGCGCGCACACACAUGUGCACACACACACAGAAACAAGAGAGGAGCACAUCAAGACAUCAACAGUGGCUGCCUCUGGAUGAUAGUAGGCGCGUGUGGUUUUCAUCUCCUUUUUAGGUCUUUCUACAUAUUCCUAACGGUCUAUAAUGGGCUUCUGUUAAGAAAAAUCCACCCGAUGAUCGUUAUGUACAAGUAUAUCGUUUUAGAGCCAGCAGGAUACGGGAGUUCUGGUGUGAGGCCACGGAGCCCCUGACCAUGGGCCUCUUCAAAAAAAUCUGCUAACAAAUAAGACGGGGAGCCAGAGCCUUUGCCUCUUGGAACUGCCUAAUCCGUCCUAUAAUACCUUGCUUUGUAGGAAAGUUCUGUGUGUAAAUCCCAUAAAAUCCCAUAAUGUGCAGCUGACACUGAGCCUACCCAGAACAAAAUCUGCUAAUGAUCACUGCUUGCCAGGAGCCUGCAGAAGUGACCAGGCAUCUGUCACAACCCCCCACGCCCGCCUCCCGCCUAAACCUUUUCUGAUAAGGGCUUUUUCCAUGAGUUUAUAAAAACACUUUGUUCGGA
This is a long non-coding RNA of Canis lupus familiaris (dog), 1736 nucleotides long. RefSeq lists it as uncharacterized. Lineage: Eukaryota; Metazoa; Chordata; Mammalia; Carnivora; Canidae. The transcript has 2 exons. The record is from RefSeq and is a predicted model, not a curated record.